RNAcentral lists this ribosomal RNA (447 nucleotides) under uncultured bacterium. RNAcentral describes it as "bacterial SSU rRNA". It matches the Rfam family "Bacterial small subunit ribosomal RNA", at positions 355 to 825 of the family's 1533-position model. The record is from RNAcentral.
UGGGGAAUAUUGGACAAUGGGCGCAAGCCUGAUCCAGCCAUGCCGCGUGAGUGACGAAGGCCUUAGGGUUGUAAAGCUCUUUUGGCGGGGAAGAUAAUGACGGUACCCGCAGAAUAAGCUCCGGCUAACUUCGUGCCAGCAGCCGCGGUAAUACGAAGGGAGCUAGCGUUGUUCGGAAUCACUGGGCGUAAAGCGCACGCAGGUGGGCAGUUAAGUCAGGGGUGAAAGCCCGAGGCUCAACCUCGGAAUUGCCUCUGAUACUGGCUGUCUAGAGUUCGAGAGAGGUGAGUGGAAUUCCUAGUGUAGAGGUGAAAUUCGUAGAUAUUAGGAAGAACACCGGUGGCGAAGGCGGCUCACUGGCUCGAUACUGACACUGAGGCGCGAAAGCGUGGGGAGCAAACAGGAUUAGAUACCCCAGUAGUCCCUGAGCGGGCUGGCAAGGCGCAU